ACAUUAGGGUUGUCAAGUUUCUAGCUUUGGAUAGAUUAAUUGAGCAACUCACCUCACCUCGACAAUUUGUUAGGGUAUCAACACUUGCUACGAGCUAAAUGCCAACUUUAUUGAGCACAAGCUUAGUCGAAACAGUUUUGUUAAUAAAACGUUGUUCUUUUGUUCAUACGAAGAAGAGUCGCUGUUUAUUUACACGUAAUGUCUACUUCCCAUG
This 214-nucleotide long non-coding RNA is filed under the name Elaeis guineensis (African oil palm). RNAcentral's name for it is "long non-coding RNA (EGUI_LNC023843)". The record is from RNAcentral. Lineage: Eukaryota; Viridiplantae; Streptophyta; Magnoliopsida; Arecales; Arecaceae.